This 405-nucleotide ribosomal RNA is filed under the name uncultured bacterium. RNAcentral's name for it is "bacterial SSU rRNA". It matches the Rfam family "Bacterial small subunit ribosomal RNA", at positions 356 to 773 of the family's 1533-position model. The record is from RNAcentral.
GGGGAAUAUUGCGCAAUGGGCGAAAGCCUGACGCAGCGACGCCGCGUGAGGGAUGAAGGCCUUCGGGUUGUAAACCUCUUUCAGCAGGGACGAAGCGAAAGUGACGGUACCUGCAGAAGAAGCACCGGCCAACUACGUGCCAGCAGCCGCGGUAAUACGUAGGGUGCAAGCGUUGUCCGGAAUUAUUGGGCGUAAAGAGCUCGUAGGCGGUCUGUCGCGUCGGCUGUGAAAACUCGGGGCUCAACCCCGAGCCUGCAGUCGAUACGGGCAGACUAGAGUGCUGUAGGGGAGACUGGAAUUCCUGGUGUAGCGGUGAAAUGCGUAGAUAUCUGGAGGAAUACCGGUGGCGAAGGCGGCAUCCUGGACCGACAUUGACGCUGAUGAGCGAAAGCCAGGGGAGCAAAC